RNAcentral lists this ribosomal RNA (221 nucleotides) under uncultured bacterium. Its description in RNAcentral is "partial 16S ribosomal RNA". It matches the Rfam family "Bacterial small subunit ribosomal RNA", at positions 129 to 334 of the family's 1533-position model. The record is from RNAcentral.
CCCUUCAGAGGGGGACAACAGUUGGAAACGACUGCUAAUACCGCAUACGAUCUAACCUCGGCAUCGAGGAUGGAUGAAAGGUGGCCUCUAUUUAUAAGCUAUCACUGAAGGAGGGGAUUGCGUCUGAUUAGCUAGUUGGAGGGGUAACGGCCCACCAAGGCGAUGAUCAGUAGCCGGUCUGAGAGGAUGAACGGCCACAUUGGGACUGAGACACGGCCCAG